Molecule: long non-coding RNA, 380 nt
Organism: Magallana angulata
Lineage: Eukaryota; Metazoa; Mollusca; Bivalvia; Ostreida; Ostreidae
Exons: 3
Source: RefSeq, a predicted model, not a curated record
UUCUCCCUACUGUUUUAUUUAUACAUCGCUACGUUUGUUUCCUUGACAAAGUAAUCAUAGACUCGCAAAUCUCUGGGGCAGUAUACCAUGGAAACUCAUUGUGUCUGCAAUCUCGUCAAAGUAUUUAUUUUUACUACUGUUGUGUAUAGAAUAGGAUCAGCCAAACACAACUGCAAACGAGCACCCUAUGUUUGUUGCCUGUCUUGGUCCACAGCAAACAUUGAAAUAUGUGACAAAUGUGCAGCAGGGUAUUUUGGGAUAAAAUGCCAAGCUUCAUGUCGUUAUCCAAACUAUGGAGAUCUGUGUCAGAAGAGCUGCAGCUGUACAGAACCAUAUUGUAACCACAUUACAGGAUGUCAAGGUAUUGACGAUACGGUAUA